Molecule: ribosomal RNA, 451 nt
Filed under: uncultured bacterium
Lineage: Bacteria
Description: partial 16S ribosomal RNA
Rfam family: Bacterial small subunit ribosomal RNA
Source: RNAcentral
GGCCAGACUCCUACGGGAGGCAGCAGUGGGGGAUAUUGCACAAUGGGGGAAACCCUGAUGCAGCGACGCCGCGUGGGCGAAGAAGUAUUUCGGUAUGUAAAGCCCUAUCAGCAGGGAAGAAGAAAUGACGGUACCUGAGUAAGAAGCACCGGCUAAAUACGUGCCAGCAGCCGCGGUAAUACGUAGGGGGCAAGCGUUAUCCGGAUUUACUGGGUGUAAAGGGGGCGCAGACGGCGAUGCAAGCCAGGAGUGAAAGCCCGGGGCCCAACCCCGGGACUGCUCUGGGAACUGCGUGGCUGGAGUGCAGGAGGGGCAGGCGGAAUGCCUGGUGUAGCGGUGAAAUGCGUAGAUAUCAGGAGGAACACCGGUGGCGAAGGCGGCCUGCUGGACUGCAACUGACGUUGAGGCCCGAAAGCGUGGGGAGCAAACAGGAUUAGAUACCCCUGUAAUA